CCAGGAUGUCUUGUGUCUGCAGGUGUCCAGGGUGAGGUGCAGCUGGUGGAGUCUGGGGGAGACCUGGUGAAGCCUGGGGGUUCCCUGAGACUCUCAUGUGUGACUUCUGGAUUCACCUUCAGUAGCUAUUGGAUGAGCUGUGUCCGCCAGGCUCCAGGGAAGGAGCUGCAGUGGGUCGCGUACAUUAACAGUGGUGGAAGUAGCACAUGGUACACAGACGCUGUGAAGGGUCGAUUCACCAUCUCCAGAGACAACGCCAAGAACACGCUGUAUCUGCAGAUGAACAGCCUGAGAGCCGAAGACACGGCCGUGUAUUACUGUGCGAGGGACACAGUGAGGGGACCUCAGUUACCAGGCUAUGUUGAUGAUAAAGACUUUAUAAUCAAUCUUGUCUGCACAUACUGUUUUGCCCAACAGCUGUAG
Molecule: non-coding RNA, 423 nt
Organism: Canis lupus familiaris (dog)
Lineage: Eukaryota; Metazoa; Chordata; Mammalia; Carnivora; Canidae
Source: the annotation of a RefSeq genome assembly